CUUGAGCGAGCCCAGCCACAGCGGCUGGUCCUCGGGGCGCUCGCGCCCGUAGGUGGCGAGCAGCGCCCCCGCCUC
RNAcentral lists this antisense RNA (75 nucleotides) under Pseudofrankia asymbiotica. RNAcentral describes it as "Frankia asymbiotica ASpks TB sRNA". It matches the Rfam family "ASpks TB sRNA". The record is from Rfam by way of RNAcentral. Lineage: Bacteria; Bacillati; Actinomycetota; Actinomycetes; Frankiales; Frankiaceae.